AGUUUUGCUGGUUUGCUUUCAGCUUUUGAAAACACACGCUGUGCAAAUCCAUGCAAAACUGA
Gadus morhua (Atlantic cod) is the source of this 62-nucleotide microRNA precursor. Ensembl annotates it as gmo-mir-19b-1. Its record names the gene gmo-mir-19b-1. Lineage: Eukaryota; Metazoa; Chordata; Actinopteri; Gadiformes; Gadidae. The record is from Ensembl.